This 366-nucleotide ribosomal RNA is filed under the name Triticum aestivum (bread wheat). Its description in RNAcentral is "partial small subunit ribosomal RNA". Lineage: Eukaryota; Viridiplantae; Streptophyta; Magnoliopsida; Poales; Poaceae. The record is from RNAcentral.
AUGGCCCAGGUUGGUGGAGCAAUGGGCCGGCUGGUGCGUUGGGCCUUGGCGUCGAAAGCGUGCAUAGCUGGACCUCGCUGGAAGAGGCAGGACGCGGUAAACGCGGUUGGGACGAGCGGGCAUCCUCUGCUUGAUAGGAAGCAGAGCCGCUGCGGCGCGGGCAACUCCGAAGGAGGACGGAGCGACGGGAACGGGAGGAGAUCGCUGGACAUGGCGCAGGGCUGCCCGAAUCUCGCUGGAGAUGAAGCAGAUCGGGUGGUGGCGCAACAAACGUGGCCGGCGGUGGGCUCCUGUCCAUGGGGGAAAAGAGAGAGGCCACGGAUAAGCACAUGCAAGACAUACAUCAAGUGUUCUCAAAAUCCUUAA